RNAcentral lists this ribosomal RNA (253 nucleotides) under uncultured bacterium. Its description in RNAcentral is "partial 16S ribosomal RNA". It matches the Rfam family "Bacterial small subunit ribosomal RNA", at positions 524 to 776 of the family's 1533-position model. The record is from RNAcentral.
UACAGAGGGGGCGAGCGUUGUUCGGAAUUACUGGGCGUAAAGGGCGCGUAGGCGGCCCGCUAAGUCGAACGUGAAAUCCCCAGGCUCAACCUGGGAACUGCGUCCGAUACUGGCAGGCUUGAAUCCGGGAGAGGGAUGUGGAAUUCCAGGUGUAGCGGUGAAAUGCGUAGAUAUCUGGAGGAAUACCGGUGGCGAAGGCGGCAUCCUGGACCGACAUUGACGCUGAGGAGCGAAAGCUAGGGGAGCAAACGGG